CUCGUCUUCAUUGUAAAAUGUUGCGUAGCCAUGCGCACUCAUGUCUUUGAAUAUCCAUGGCCAACGAUCUAGGCAUUUGGCAGAAAACUUCCUACAAGAAGAAAAAUUUUGUUUAAUACUUCACUUCACUUACAAAUGUAAUUACAUGGUUUUAUUAACAGCAGCAUUGGAAUCAUUUGAAUGGCAACUCAUCAAUAUGUUGUCCAACCAGCAUUGCUAUCAAUGCUGCAGUUGUUCCAUCACCAACAAUGGAUUGCGCGUUGAAUAUUUGUGAUUUCAAAUCAUUCUUAAGGUACUUGUAUAUCGGAUCUAGCUUUCGUUGAAAGUGUGCAUGGGAAGUAGAAUCUAAGCCCACCAUCAUAAUGUUCAGUGGUAUUCCUGGUUUCUUUUGAGGAACUCUGUUUAGUAUUUCAUCACGAGAAUUCACUUCCAUGUGAAAUUCUUUUUGAAUUUUAUUAUCUGUUUUGUGAAUCUCGACAUACACCAUGUCUUCGUUAAGGAUCACCUCUGGCUUUGAUGGUGUAAGGGUGCCUUUUUCCUUGACAUUAAACCAUUCUCCAGAGUUGCUACGUCCUUUAAUAACUUCAUAUUCUGCUUUGAUUGCUCUUAAUCUUCCAGCUAGAAAACAACACUUAUCCAUGAGUUUUGGGAACAUCAUGGCACAAGUAUGUUCAUAAUUUAAAAAUUUUUACACAAAAAUAUAACAAACAAAAUUUUUACCAAACAUAAGUUAUGUAAGUGCACAAUAUGUGUAAAUGGAGAAAAUGGGGACCCAGGGAUGUAUGAAAGGAUAAUUAGAGGCUUAUGCAAAUAUGUAUAGAACACUAUAACUCUUUAUCCUUGAUACACAUCGAAAAUGGUGUUGUGCUUUUUACAUAUUGCAGUUGAUUGUUUUCAUAUAUCUUUGAUGUUUGAUGUAUUCUUAGUUGUUAGUACCAACAAGUAAAAGUGGUUUUUUAAACAGAACUUUGACAAAUCAAGUUUUUGGCUGAAGAUCACAAGCUAACCAUAGAAACUUUAUUCAAGCAAAUUACUGAGAUGAAUGAACUUUAAACAUACCUGCUGUUAGCGUCAACUUUCCAUUUCUAUAAAAUGUCAAGUUUUUUUCUCCUUUGCAAA
Molecule: long non-coding RNA, 1119 nt
Organism: Xenia sp. Carnegie-2017
Lineage: Eukaryota; Metazoa; Cnidaria; Anthozoa; Malacalcyonacea; Xeniidae
Exons: 3
Source: RefSeq, a predicted model, not a curated record